RNAcentral lists this transfer RNA (72 nucleotides) under Camelus bactrianus (Bactrian camel). It matches the Rfam family "tRNA". Rfam says of the family: Transfer RNA (tRNA) molecules are approximately 80 nucleotides in length. Their secondary structure includes four short double-helical elements and three loops (D, anti-codon, and T loops). Further hydrogen bonds mediate the characteristic L-shaped molecular structure. tRNAs have two regions of fundamental functional importance: the anti-codon, which is responsible for specific mRNA codon recognition, and the 3' end, to which the tRNAs corresponding amino acid is attached (by aminoacyl-tRNA synthetases). tRNAs cope with the degeneracy of the genetic code in two manners: having more than one tRNA (with a specific anti-codon) for a particular amino acid; and 'wobble' base-pairing, i.e. permitting non-standard base-pairing at the 3rd anti-codon position. RNAcentral also lists the same sequence under 2 other names. The record is from Rfam by way of RNAcentral. Lineage: Eukaryota; Metazoa; Chordata; Mammalia; Artiodactyla; Camelidae.
GAAGGUAGAGCUCAGUGGCAGAGUGUGUGCUUAGCAUGCACAAGGUCCUGGGUUCAAUCCCCAGUGCCUACA